Molecule: long non-coding RNA, 344 nt
Organism: Rattus rattus (black rat)
Lineage: Eukaryota; Metazoa; Chordata; Mammalia; Rodentia; Muridae
Exons: 2
Source: RefSeq, a predicted model, not a curated record
GCUGGGGAGGAGCCCGGGCGUCUGCUGACAGCGGCACCUGUGACUUUGAUCUGCAGUCUUCACCAGCAAGAGGAGCUUUCCCGGCUUACUCGGCUGGGAAGGCCGAGUUUCUAGAGCCGUAGAAGAGGAUUCUCAAAGAUAAAGAGGACAGCUAAGAGGGACAGCUGGAAACAACAAACAUUGUCACAUCUUCUUCAAUGGAUCCACUUCUGAUCUUUGAAAAUCCUUUGAAAAGCCUCCAGUUAAAAUGCAAACUUCCCAGCUAAGUGAAGAGGAAGAUGUUGUCAUUUCUAACACUGAGACAAGAGGGAGAUGAUUCAAACCCAAGUAAAGAGUCAAAAUUA